RNAcentral lists this ribosomal RNA (271 nucleotides) under uncultured bacterium. RNAcentral's name for it is "partial 16S ribosomal RNA". It matches the Rfam family "Bacterial small subunit ribosomal RNA", at positions 505 to 776 of the family's 1533-position model. The record is from RNAcentral.
GUGCCAGCGCCGCGGUAAUACGUAGGGUGCGAGCGUUAAUCGGAAUUACUGGGCGUAAAGCGUGCGCAGGCGGUUUUGUAAGACCGAUGUGAAAUCCCCGGGCUCAACCUGGGAACUGCAUUGGUGACUGCAAGGCUGGAGUGCGGCAGAGGGGGAUGGAAUUCCGCGUGUAGCAGUGAAAUGCGUAGAUAUGCGGAGGAACACCGAUGGCGAAGGCAAUCCCCUGGGCCUGCACUGACGCUCAUGCACGAAAGCGUGGGGAGCAAACAGG